UUUUAACGGCUGCGGUAUUUUGACCGUGCUAAGGUAGCAUAAUCAAUUGUUUUUUAAUUGAAAGCUAGUAUGAACGGUUUAAUUUACUUAAUUAGUUUGUAAUUUUUAAUAGUAAGUUAAAUAUAAAGUAAGAAUUCUUUAAUAAAUUAGGGGACGAUAAGACCCUAAAAGCUUUAUGAUUGGCAUUUAAUUGGUGAUAGCGGUGUUAUUAAUUCACUGGGGCAGUGAGUUUAGGUAUAUUUAAGUAUAAUUAAAAGCUCCUUUAAAUAAAGAUUUCAUGUAUAAGUUACUUUAGGGAUAACAGUGCAAUAUAUU
This 315-nucleotide ribosomal RNA is filed under the name Dikerogammarus haemobaphes. Its description in RNAcentral is "partial 16S ribosomal RNA". Lineage: Eukaryota; Metazoa; Arthropoda; Malacostraca; Amphipoda; Gammaridae. The record is from RNAcentral.